UCUGGUUGAUCCUGCCAGUAGUUAUAUGCUUGUCUCAAAGAUUAAGCCAUGCAUGUCUAAGUACACACGAAUUAAAAGUGAAACCGCAAAAGGCUCAUUAUAUCAGUUAUGGUUCCUUAGAUCGUUAACAGUUACUUGGAUAACUGUGGUAAUUCUAGAGCUAAUACAUGCAAUUAAAACAUGAACCUUAUGGGACAUGUGCUUUUAUUAGGCUAAAACCAAGCGAUCGCAAGAUCGUUAUAUUGGUUGAACUCUAGAUAACAUGCAGAUCGUAUGGUCUUGUACCGACGACAGAUCUUUCAAAUGUCUGCCCUAUCAACUUUUGAUGGUAGUAUCUAGGACUACCAUGGUUGCAACGGGUAACGGGGAAUCAGGGUUCGAUUCCGGAGAGGGAGCCUGAGAAACGGCUACCACAUCUAAGGAAGGCAGCAGGCGCGUAAAUUACCCACUCCCAGCUCGGGGAGGUAGUGACGAAAAAUAACAAUACAGGACUCAUAUCCGAGGCCCUGUAAUUGGAAUGAGUACACUUUAAAUCCUUUAACAAGGACCAAUUGGAGGGCAAGUCUGGUGCCGCAGCCGCGGUAAUUCCAGCUCCAAUAGCGUAUAUUAAAGUUGUUGCGGUUAAAACGUUCGUAGUUGAACUUGUGCUUCAUACGGGUAGUACAACUUACAAUUGUGGUUAGUACUAUACCUUUAUGUAUGUAAGCGUAUUACCGGUGGAGUUCUUAUAUGUGAUUAAAUACUUGUAUUUUUUCAUAUGUUCCUCCUAUUUAAAAACCUGCAUUAGUGCUCUUAAACGAGUGUUAUUGUGGGCCGGUACUAUUACUUUGAACAAAUUAGAGUGCUUAAAGCAGGCUUCAAAUGCCUGAAUAUUCUGUGCAUGGGAUAAUGAAAUAAGACCUCUGUUCUGCUUUCAUUGGUUUUCAGAUCAAGAGGUAAUGAUUAAUAGAAGCAGUUUGGGGGCAUUAGUAUUACGACGCGAGAGGUGAAAUUCUUGGACCGUCGUAAGACUAACUUAAGCGAAAGCAUUUGCCAAAGAUGUUUUCAUUAAUCAAGAACGAAAGUUAGAGGUUCGAAGGCGAUCAGAUACCGCCCUAGUUCUAACCAUAAACGAUGCCAGCUAGCAAUUGGGUGUAGCUACUUUUAUGGCUCUCUCAGUCGCUUCCCGGGAAACCAAAGCUUUUGGGCUCCGGGGGAAGUAUGGUUGCAAAGCUGAAACUUAAAGGAAUUGACGGAAGGGCACCACCAGGAGUGGAGCCUGCGGCUUAAUUUGACUCAACACGGGAAAACUUACCAGGUCCGAACAUAAGUGUGUAAGACAGAUUGAUAGCUCUUUCUCGAAUCUAUGGGUGGUGGUGCAUGGCCGUUCUUAGUUCGUGGAGUGAUUUGUCUGGUUAAUUCCGAUAACGAACGAGACUCAAAUAUAUUAAAUAGAUAUCUUCAGGAUUAUGGUGCUGAAGCUUAUGUAGCCUUCAUUCAUGUUGGCAGUAAAAUGCUUAUUGUGUUUGAAUGUGUUUAUGUAAGUGGAGCCGUACCUGUUGGUUUUGUCCCAUUAUAAGGACACUAGCUUCUUAAAUGGACAAAUUGCGUCUAGCAAUAAUGAGAUUGAGCAAUAACAGGUCUGUGAUGCCUUAGAUGUCCUGGGCUGCACGCGCGCUACAAUGAAAGUAUCAACGUGUAUUUCCUAGACCGAGAGGUCCGGGUAAACCGCUGAACCACUUUCAUGCUUGGGAUUGUGAACUGAAACUGUUCACAUGAACUUGGAAUUCCCAGUAAGUGUGAGUCAUUAACUCGCAUUGAUUACGUCCUGCCUUUGUACACACCGCCCGUCGCUACUACCGAUUGAAUUAUUUAGUGAGGUCUCCGGACGUGAUCACUGUGACGCCUUGCGUGUUACGGUUGUUUCGCAAAAGUUGACCGAACUUGAUUAUUUAGAGGAAGUAAAAGUCGUAACAAGGUUUCCGUAGGUGAACCUGCGGAAG
RNAcentral lists this ribosomal RNA (1982 nucleotides) under Drosophila melanogaster (fruit fly). RNAcentral describes it as "SSU rRNA". It matches the Rfam family "Eukaryotic small subunit ribosomal RNA". The record is from RNAcentral. Lineage: Eukaryota; Metazoa; Arthropoda; Insecta; Diptera; Drosophilidae.